AAUGGACGCAAGUCUGAUCCAGCAAUGCCGCGUGCAGGACGAAGGCCUUCGGGUUGUAAACUGCUUUUGUACAGAACGAAAAGGCUCUGGUUAAUACCUGGGGCUCAUGACGGUACUGUAAGAAUAAGCACCGGCUAACUACGUGCCAGCAGCCGCGGUAAUACGUAGGGUGCGAGCGUUAAUCGGAAUUACUGGGCGUAAAGCGUGCGCAGGCGGUUUUGUAAGACCGAUGUGAAAUCCCCGGGCUCAACCUGGGAACUGCAUUGGUGACUGCAAGGCUGGAGUGCGGCAGAGGGGGAUGGAAUUCCGCGUGUAGCAGUGAAAUGCGUAGAUAUGCGGAGGAACACCGAUGGCGAAGGCAAUCCCCUGGGCCUGCACUGACGCUCAUGCACGAAAGCGUGGGGAGCAAA
This 410-nucleotide ribosomal RNA is filed under the name uncultured bacterium. Its description in RNAcentral is "bacterial SSU rRNA". It matches the Rfam family "Bacterial small subunit ribosomal RNA", at positions 370 to 772 of the family's 1533-position model. The record is from RNAcentral.